CAUCAACUGUAAAGGCAAAUCACUGGUGUCUGUAUAGUGAUACACAGGGUCAAAGCUCCCCAUGAGCUUUUAAUAUUGCUUAAUAUUUAAAUUUAAUAACUAAAUAUAAAUUAUUUAAUAGGAAACAGGCAAUUAUCAACACAAAAAUUACUGAUGGGAGGGAGGACUAAGAAAAUGACCACAUAUAAUUUCAAUUACUUGAUCUUUAGAAGACAUUGAAAGAUGUUUAAAAAGUAAAUUAAAAUACUUGCCCCUUAAAAAUGGCUGAUUUUAUGGAAGGGAAAUAUUAAAAAUAUUCAUUAGAAUUGUGUGAUUUAGCUUUAAAUACCCUCUUCUGUUCUCCUAGACAGACACUACUCCAGCUACUCACCACUAGUAUACCAUGUAGGUGCUGAUGCAGAUGUGUAAUAGAGUGGUGAAGCUGCAGAAGGAAAGAAAGUUGUUAGAAAAUGGGAAAUUGCAUGGGCCAUGUAAGAUGUCAGGGAGUUAAUAUGCUAGGUAAAUCAGUAAUUGCAUCCUAGUUUUUAAUCUAUGGAAUGACAGUUUGUGUGCUGCUUUUGAAUAAAAAAAAGCUUCAGGAUAGAUACAGAUUUCACUUGUAGUUUAAAUUGCUCUGAGAGUUUCCAUAUAGCCCAAGCAACAUAUCUGUAGGAUACAAAUAUUUCAGACUUGAGGAUUAAACUAUCAGCAAGGAAAUGCAACAUCAUCCAUUGAAAACUUCUGACUUUUUGAUAUUUGGGGUGAUUUUGUUUGUUUGUUUUACUUUUUUUUUCUUUUUUUUUUUUUUUUCUUUUUUUUUUUUUUUUUUUUUUUUUUUCUCCAGAAUGUAUUUAAGUCUUUUCAGUGAAGACUUGAAAAAACUAGAUAGAGACAGAGACUGGCAUCCAGAGAAAAAGCAUAACUGUAACUCUUCCAUUUCCAGGAUUGCCCAGCCAGCAAUUUGGUGCAUCAGUUGCUCUCUCUUGAAUAAAACAGAUGCUUUUUGCACAAGUGACUGGACAUGUUAAUUUAGCCAGAGAUGCUGACAUCACAGUCCUUUGCUUUAUAUAAUUCCAAAGGAAAUGCAGAAUUAAAUCCAUAUUCUGUUAUUGGGAAACAGCUUUCAGGGAAAAAUGGUGGUUUGAUGAACAGGUAUUUUCUCCUUACAAACUAUUUAGCUGAAACUUUGUCACCUCAUAUUGUUCAACCUUUAAGUGUCUUUUCAGCAGUGAGCAGAAUUUGGUAGUAUUUGCUAAACUCCAGUUGUACUGCCAGAAAAGGCACCUCUGCCUCUGGUGAUUUCAGUUGAUAGAUCCUGCUCUGUUCAGAAAAGUAAGUUAAAUGACUUACCCAUCAAAGGACCUGUGAACAUCCCUGCUUGAAUGAAACAAAAUGUUAUUUUAGAGGCUACAAAGAAUGAAAACCAAUCUCACCCACUUCAUUCCUUCCUCCUUCAAAACCCAAAAAUCUUGUAAGUAUGUAUCAAUUUCUAAAUAUUAUAAGGUAAAAAUGUAGUCAAAACAGUUUCUUUAACAGUGCUACAAAGCAACAAUAUUGAAGGGGCUGAAAGCACACCCUGCUUUCCAGCACAAAUAUAACAUCUCCAAAGAGUACGGGGCUGGCUCUCUCUGGGUCUGGGACAACCUGUUAUCCUCUGAUCCCUCUGUGCCACCUUCUUCUAAACUGCACCUAUGGGAAGGAAGAAUUGCCUGCCUGGUUCCACAUUUUUCUACUCUUCUGCUCUUUGUACAUCUGAAAGUCUGUCAGGGUGUUUCUGUGCUUUAGAAGUGGCAAUCAUGGCAUGAAUGAAGAUAUCUUUGUAUGAGAUUGCCACCUGGAAGGCCCCAGUGGCAGCCCUGGAGAGCAGCUGACUUGUACUGGGCCUGAAUUCCACAGUGGUGGGAUGCUGCAAUCAUCAGAGACAGGAACUGAACUGAAACCACUAUUCACAAACUUAUCCAUCUGAAAAGUUGUAUAUCUAUUCAUAAUAUGAUCUUGAUUAAUGCUUUCAUGAACUUUAGGAAAAUAUUGCAUCCUAGAUCAAAUAAGUAAUGUAGAAAAUCCAUGUCUAAAAAUAUUAAGUAAAUUUAAUAAGAAAUGUACAUACCUUCAGCUGUUGCCAUGGGCAGAUAAGAAGUAAUAGGAAGAAAAAAUAAAUUUAUAGUUUCAGUUAUACAAUUAAACAGGAGAGAUUCUGACUCUAAUAAAAAAUUUUUAAAAAUUAAAACUGUUUGAAAACACAACCAGCUAUCUUCAGUAUUUUGUAAUGACAUUUCUUCUCAGUGGUACAACUCAGUAUUGGUAGGUCAAACAGGAACAUACUGAAAGUAAAAAGCUGUUAUAUGGGGCAGCAGAACUGCAAUUUAUUAUGUAUGGGAUAAGAGCUCUAUUUUGAAUGGCUUUGUGCUGUGCCAUACCUAUAUUGCAAAAUGUUACUUACUGUUUUGUGGUUUUCCAGGCAUUUGGAUGAUUAUGUUAAUGCUGACUGGAUGACUGAAUACAUUGAUUUGUGAACUGAGACUUCAGGGAAAUCUCAAUCUUUUUACAACCUGAUAUAUCCUGCCUGAAGAAGAGCUCAUGCAAAUUUUCCCUUUUCAUGUGGAAACAGGUUACUACAUCUAUCCCUAGGCUGAAGUAUGUAGAAAAAUAGUGAUGAGAUUGACAUGACAUCAUAAUCAAAGGAGACUGGGUAUUUGAUCUUACCAGAGAUUGCAAUGAAAUCUAAUUCUUUGGUGAAUUCUUUGAAUGGCUGCUACUGGAAUGUGAGAGUGAAAAAAGGCAACUCUGUACAGCCUGUACCAGUUUCCAUGUCUUACACAACUCUAAAAUGCCUCAGGAGUGUGACAUUGAGCCACUAGUAUCCAAUACAAAAAUAAUAUUCUUGGACAACUUCGGAAGAUUUGUUGGUGCAAAGAAGUGUACAAAAUAGCCAUUGACAAUC
This is a non-coding RNA of Taeniopygia guttata (zebra finch), 2920 nucleotides long. Lineage: Eukaryota; Metazoa; Chordata; Aves; Passeriformes; Estrildidae. The record is from RefSeq and is a predicted model, not a curated record.